CUUGUUCUGGCUUCCCAAGUAGGCAGAAUUGGUUUCCCCUGGAAGCAAAGACCCUUGGUCUAACGUAGAGCUGCUCCAAUCUCUAAGAGAACUGGAUGACCUGGAUACAUGAUAGGAGAGCUCUUGCCGUCCUAUUCCUACUCUUGACUCAAUCUACAGGGUGUCAGGACGGCUGAGUGGUCUAAGGCGCCAGACUCAAAAAAUCAAGUCUACUGCUUUAAGAAAGAGAAAUUAAGAGUAAAGCAGGAGACCAUGACUACACUGCUUGCUAUUUCAUGAAGAUGUGCAAGACAACAAAGGAGGCACAAUGCUGAAGCCAGCAACUAUAGUCCAAACUUCUUGAUUUGGCAGCUUCCUAUUUGUAGCACAGGCAGCUUGGUUCUGGAAAAUACAGCUACAAAAGCUGCUCCUGAGUUGACAAUUUCCUAAUUAUGCAGAAGUACUAGGUCUCUUAGAAGCCAGUUUUGCAGCAUGCUCCAAUAGUCAUUCUUGAAAACCUGGCCUAGAACUGUUUCUUCAACCUUCCUAACAAUUCUGCAAGCUCUCUAUAUCCUUUAUUAAAGGCCGUCCCAUCGUCCUGGCUACAAUAGCCAGAGUGGAUCUUACUGUAUGCAACAAAUAAUCCCCCAAAAUAUAUGGCUGUGAGGAAAGUACAGUAGCUCAUAGGAGAGGGCUGUCACUGUAGAUAUUGUGUUGCACAUAAUUUUAUGCAUUUUUUUCCUACUGAAUAUAUGUAGAUCUAAAGUCUUCAUGGCAGGGCUUAUGAUUAAAAAAAUUUUUUAUAUAUAUAAGAGGAAAAGACACUUCUAUAGUUAUUUACCUGCA
Molecule: long non-coding RNA, 825 nt
Organism: Chlorocebus sabaeus (green monkey)
Lineage: Eukaryota; Metazoa; Chordata; Mammalia; Primates; Cercopithecidae
Source: RefSeq, a predicted model, not a curated record